AUUAGGAAUCUUGCGCAAUGGGGGCAACCCUGACGCAGCGACGCCGCGUGUAUGAUGAAGUCUUUCGGGAUGUAAAGUACUUUUAGCAGGGAAGAAGAAUGUGACGGUACCUGCUGAAUAAGCCCCGGCUAACUACGUGCCAGCAGCCGCGGUAAUACGUAGGGGGCGAGCGUUGUCCGAAGUUACUGGGCGUAAAGCGCGCGUAGGCGGUUCUUUAAGUUAAUUGUGAAAUCUCCACGGCUCAACCGGGAGACUGCGGUUAAGACUGGGGGACUUGAGAUUGGGAGAGGGAAGUGGAAUUCCUGGUGUAGCGGUGAAAUGCGUAGAUAUCAGGAGGAACACCAAAGGCGAAGGCAGCUUCCUGGCCCAAUUCUGACGCUGAGGUGCGAAAGCGUGGGUAGCGAACGG
RNAcentral lists this ribosomal RNA (408 nucleotides) under uncultured bacterium. RNAcentral's name for it is "bacterial SSU rRNA". It matches the Rfam family "Bacterial small subunit ribosomal RNA", at positions 354 to 775 of the family's 1533-position model. The record is from RNAcentral.